Molecule: ribosomal RNA, 586 nt
Filed under: uncultured bacterium
Lineage: Bacteria
Description: partial 16S ribosomal RNA
Rfam family: Bacterial small subunit ribosomal RNA
Source: RNAcentral
UGGGGAAUUUUGGACAAUUGGGCGAAAGCCUGAUCCAGCAAUGCCGCGUGUGUGAAGAAGGCCUUCGGGUUGUAAAGCACUUUUGUCCGGAAAGAAAUCCUUGGCUCUAAUACAGUCGGGGGAUGACGGUACCGGAAGAAUAAGCACCGGCUAACUACGUGCCAGCAGCCGCGGUAAUACGUAGGGUGCAAGCGUUAAUCGGAAUUACUGGGCGUAAAGCGUGCGCAGGCGGUUUGCUAAGACCGAUGUGAAAUCCCCGGGCUCAACCUGGGAACUGCAUUGGUGACUGGCAGGCUAGAGUAUGGCAGAGGGGGGUAGAAUUCCACGUGUAGCAGUGAAAUGCGUAGAGAUGUGGAGGAAUACCGAUGGCGAAGGCAGCCCCCUGGGCCAAUACUGACGCUCAUGCACGAAAGCGUGGGGAGCAAACAGGAUUAGAUACCCUGGUAGUCCACGCCCUAAANGAUGUCAACUAGUUGUUGGGGAUUCAUUUCCUUAGUAACGUAGCUAACGCGUGAAGUUGACCGCCUGGGGAGUACGGUCGCAAGAUUAAAACUCAAAUGAAUUGACGGGGUCAUAGCUGUUUCCU